RNAcentral lists this ribosomal RNA (216 nucleotides) under Campeiostachys nutans. RNAcentral describes it as "Elymus nutans partial small subunit ribosomal RNA". The stretch from base 44 to 216 matches the Rfam family "Eukaryotic small subunit ribosomal RNA", at positions 690 to 864 of the family's 1831-position model. Lineage: Eukaryota; Viridiplantae; Streptophyta; Magnoliopsida; Poales; Poaceae. The record is from RNAcentral.
GGGUUAGUAGAUUGGUCAUGCCACUGGUAUGUACUGGUCUCACUGAUUCCUCCUUCCUGACGAACCGUAAUGCCAUUAAUUUGGUGUUGCGGGGAGACUGGACUGUUACCUUGAGAAAAUUAGAGUGUUCAAAGCAGGCCUACGCCUGAAUACGUUAGCAUGGAAUAAUAGAAUAGGACGUGCGGUUCUAUUUUGUUGGUUUCUAGAGUCGCCGUA